RNAcentral lists this ribosomal RNA (799 nucleotides) under uncultured Terrimonas sp. Its description in RNAcentral is "bacterial SSU rRNA". It matches the Rfam family "Bacterial small subunit ribosomal RNA", at positions 8 to 796 of the family's 1533-position model. The record is from RNAcentral. Lineage: Bacteria; Pseudomonadati; Bacteroidota; Chitinophagia; Chitinophagales; Chitinophagaceae.
AGAGUUUGAUCCUGGCUCAGGAUGAACGCUAGCGGCAGGCUUAAUACAUGCAAGUCGAGGGGCAACAUGUCCUGUAGCAAUACAGGAUGAUGGCGACCGGCAAACGGGUGCGGAACACGUACAGAACCUUCCUUCGAGCGGAGAAUAGCCCGGAGAAAUCCGGAUUAAUACUCCAUAGUAAAUUGAAAAGGCAUCUUUUUAAUUUUAAAGAUUUAUCACUUGAAGAUGGCUGUGCGGCUGAUUAGCUAGUUGGCGGGGUAAUGGCCCACCAAGGCAACGAUCAGUAACUGGUGUGAGAGCACGACCAGUCACACGGGCACUGAGACACGGGCCCGACUCCUACGGGAGGCAGCAGUAAGGAAUAUUGGUCAAUGGACGAGAGUCUGAACCAGCCAUGCCGCGUGGAGGAUGAAGGUCCUCUGGAUUGUAAACUUCUUUUAUAUGGGACGAAAAAGGGUCUUUCUAGAUCAACUGACGGUACCAUAUGAAUAAGCACCGGCUAACUCCGUGCCAGCAGCCGCGGUAAUACGGAGGGUGCAAGCGUUAUCCGGAUUCACUGGGUUUAAAGGGUGCGUAGGUGGGUUGGUAAGUCAGUGGUGAAAUCCCCGAGCUUAACUUGGGAACUGCCAUUGAUACUAUCAGUCUUGAAUACCGUGGAGGUCGGCGGAAUAUGUCAUGUAGCGGUGAAAUGCUUAGAUAUGACAUAGAACACCAAUUGCGAAGGCAGCUGACUACGCGAGUAUUGACACUGAGGCACGAAAGCGUGGGGAUCAAACAGGAUUAGAUACCCCGGUAGUCC